RNAcentral lists this long non-coding RNA (244 nucleotides) under Panax ginseng (ginseng). Its description in RNAcentral is "long non-coding RNA (PGIN_LNC016481)". Lineage: Eukaryota; Viridiplantae; Streptophyta; Magnoliopsida; Apiales; Araliaceae. The record is from RNAcentral.
UGAGUUUUAAUACAAAUAUUGUCAUCUAGAUAAUAUCCACACUCAAUUUAGUCCUCAUUACAUUUAUUAUCACACUAUUUAAUAGAAUAGUGAGGACUACUAAGACACCAUCUCGGACCAUCACUUCGUUCCCCGACUAGUCCCGGCUACUUUCUCAUUUCCUGAAGAGAACAGUGAAAGAAAGGGUGAGCUCAACUAGCUCAGUAAGAAAUAUUAUGACUAAGAUAAUGCAGAAUUAAUUAUC